AGCAGCCGCGGUAAUUCCAGCUCCAAUAGCGUAUAUUAAAGUUGUUGCAGUUAAAAAGCUCGUAGUUGAAUUUCGGGAUCAAUAUAUCGGUCGUGCCUUGGUACGUACUGGUAUCAUUGGUCUCUCCUUUCUGACGAACCAUGAUGUCAUUAAUUUGGUGUUAUGGGAAGUUAGGACUGUUACUUUGAAAAAUUAGAGUGUUUAAAGCAGGCUUUGGCUUGAAUACAUUAGCAUGGAAUAAUGAAAUAGGACGUUCGAACCUAUUUUGUUGGUUUCUAGGAUCAACGUAAUGAUUAAUAGGGAUAGUUGGGGGCAUUAGUAUUCAAUUGUCAGAGGUGAAAUUCUUGGAUUUAUUGAAGACUAACUACUGCGAAAGCAUUUGCCAAGGAUGUUUUCAUUAAUCAAGAACGAAAGUUAGGGGAUCGAAGACGAUCAGAUACCGUCGUAGUCUUAACCAUAAA
Molecule: unclassified non-coding RNA, 461 nt
Filed under: uncultured Glomus
Lineage: Eukaryota; Fungi; Glomeromycota; Glomeromycetes; Glomerales; Glomeraceae
Description: SSU rRNA
Rfam family: Eukaryotic small subunit ribosomal RNA
Source: RNAcentral